AUUGAACGCUGGCGGCAGGCCUAACACAUGCAAGUCGAACGGUAACAGGAAGAAGCUUGCUUCUUUGCUGACGAGUGGCGGACGGGUGAGUAAUGUCUGGGAAACUGCCUGAUGGAGGGGGAUAACUACUGGAAACGGUAGCUAAUACCGCAUAACGUCGCAAGACCAAAGAGGGGGACCUUCGGGCCUCUUGCCCUCGGAUGUGCCCAGAUGGGAUUAGCUAGUAGGUGGGGUAACGGCUCACCUAGGCGACGAUCCCUAGCUGGUCUGAGAGGAUGACCAGCCACACUGGAACUGAGACACGGUCCAGACUCCUACGGGAGGCAGCAGUGGGGAAUAUUGCACAAAGGGCGCAAGCCUGAUGCAGCCAUGCCGCGUGUAUGAAGAAGGCCUUCGGGUUGUAAAGUACUUUCAGCGGGGAGGAAGGGAGUAAAGUUAAUACCUUUGCUCAUUGACGUUACCCGCAGAAGAAGCACCGGCUAACUCCGUG
Molecule: ribosomal RNA, 490 nt
Filed under: uncultured bacterium
Lineage: Bacteria
Description: partial 16S ribosomal RNA
Rfam family: Bacterial small subunit ribosomal RNA
Source: RNAcentral